Molecule: ribosomal RNA, 253 nt
Filed under: uncultured bacterium
Lineage: Bacteria
Description: partial 16S ribosomal RNA
Rfam family: Bacterial small subunit ribosomal RNA
Source: RNAcentral
UACGGAGGGAGCUAGCGUUGUUCGGAAUUACUGGGCGUAAAGCGCACGUAGGCGGAUUUGUUAGUCAGGGGUGAAAUCCCGGGGCUCAACCUCGGAACUGCCUUUGAUACUGCAAAUCUCGAGUCCGAUAGAGGUGGGUGGAAUUCCUAGUGUAGAGGUGAAAUUCGUAGAUAUUGGGAAGAACACCAGUGGCGAAGGCGGCUAUCUGGCCCGUUAUUGACGCUGAGGCGCGAAAGCGUGGGGAGCAAACAGG